Molecule: ribosomal RNA, 506 nt
Filed under: uncultured bacterium
Lineage: Bacteria
Description: partial 16S ribosomal RNA
Rfam family: Bacterial small subunit ribosomal RNA
Source: RNAcentral
AGUGAACGCUGGCGGUAGGCCUAACACAUGCAAGUCGAACGGCAGCACAGAGGAGCUUGCUCCUUAGGUGGCGAGUGGCGGACGGGUGAGGAAUACAUCGGAAUCUACUCUGUCGUGGGGGAUAACGUAGGGAAACUUACGCUAAUACCGCAGACGACCUACGGGUGAAAGCAGGGGAUCUUCGGACCUUGCGCGAUUGAAUGAGCCGAUGUCGGAUUAGCUGGUUGGCGGGGUAAAGGCCCACCAAGGCGACGAUCCGUAGCUGGUCUGAGAGGAUGAUCAGCCACACUGGAACUGAGACACGGUCCAGACUCCUACGGGAGGCAGCAGUGGGGAAUAUUGGACAAUGGGCGCGAGCCUGAUCCAGCCAUACCGCGUGGGUGAAGAAGGCCUUCGGGUUGUAAAGCCCUUUUGUUGGGAAAGAAAUCCAUCUGGUUAAUACCCGGUUGGGAUGACGGUACCCAAAGAAUAAGCACCGGCUAACUUCGUGCCAGCCGCCGCCGUAA